This 2986-nucleotide non-coding RNA is filed under the name synthetic construct. The record is from RNAcentral.
AGACUGCAGCACAUUGUGGGAUAAUGUGUUCAAAAAUGGACCUUGAAACCCGUGAAGGUGGUGGUUGCCAGCAGGUUUCAAUUCUCAUGGUCACAUCUGACAGAGAAAAGGAACAGUAUGAGAAAUUUAUGAACAUACUUAAGAAUCUUUCAAAUUGUACUGAUAUAUCUCAGGUCGUGGCAGAUGCUAAAAAAAUCUAUGAUUCCAGGGAAUUUUGUUAUGUGCCUGCCCUUCUCACUCUGUUCAAGAAGUUGCCUUCUGUUCAUAAAUGGCCUGAAAAUGAAAACUGUAAUGAGGUGCUAAGUGCUGCCUUCUUUGUGUGCCAGCUCUUAUUUUUUCAUAACUUCCCAGCCUCACCAGCUUUUACAGUGGAUGAAAUGUUUGCAACAGUGGCUGCUAGAUUGAAGGAUCUGAUAGAAUAUUCAUGUGACUGUGAGAACUGUGAAUUGUUGGCUGAAUCCCUGACAAAUUAUAAGUUUUCCCUGGUACCUAUAAAGAUCAGGCCACACACCGAUACCUGUGUCUCACUGAAAACACUCCAGCGGCUACGGACUGCCAUGUUAGGCAAUCCUGAAACCCUGAGUAUUUGGACCCUUGAUGACCUGGUGGAGGACCCAGUAGUCUUCAAAGGCUAUGAAAGCGCAAUUAGGAGAGAAUUUGCUGAGCAUGUCACAUGUUUGAACAUGUGCUGGGUUGUGAAGAUAAUCUUGGACUGCAUGUCUCAGCCAACAGCUCUGCUUCGGGAUUGUAUUCAGAAGGGUGCAAAGAAUAAUGGACUCCAGCUGGACACUUCGAGUACCUGGACGUGGCCAGCAGCACGUAUUGCUGAAAAGGAAGUCAUAGAACAUACCAUGAGUGUUUGUGUACAGGAUAUGACUAGAAGUCAUGAUCAGGAAUUCUACACAGAGGCCUUUAAGGAAGAUCUCCAUAUAGGAUUAAAGAGACUAGUUGCCAUGGUCCUUGGGCAGAAUCAUAGUUGGUUAGAUGGCUUUCUGACAGACACUAUAGUGACAGGUAAAGCAUAGCCUGGGGCAUAGUUCUUUGAUGAAUCAUCAUAAAUAUGAUGGCUAAUGUGGUCCUUUUGUGUAUUAAUGCAGAUAUGUUUAUGUAUCCAGGUGUGUUGCUUGAAAGGUAUUUUGCUGUACUAACCCAACACCACCUAUUUAUCAUGUUUGGAAGCCUAUUAAAAACUGUGCUAUUGACUCUGGCGUUUGUGUCUUUGUCUACUUGUGACUCAAAAAUUUUACCCAAGCAUUGUUGCCAUAUUUCUGCAACCCCUACUGAGAAAAAAUCCUGGAACUUCCUGUCCUCCAUAACUGAGAUAUAUCUUAGUAGUCCAUCUUCGUGUGGGAAUAUCAAUGUGGCCCAGGUGAAAGUGAAAACCAAGACAGGAUACCACUUAGAAUGUGCAAAUGGUUUUGGACUCAUGGGCUUUCUUGAAGCCGUGGUCAGCAGGUUUAGAGACCCCACCCCCGAUGACGUUGAGUUCCUUAAACAACUUAAAUUGUUGCACGAUCAGUUUGAUGAGGUAUUUUCAGCAAGCACUGCCAACAGCUCCUCCUUUAAGGUCGCCGCCUGGUAACCAUGGACACUUGGCUAAAAACGCAUGUGUGGUCCCUGAAUGUUAUGCAGAGAGACUCAGUAAUGGAUUUUCUACCUCAAUCCUGGAUAGACUACUUACAACUCUCCGCGUUUUCAUCCAAGAAGCUUGAGCAGAUUAUGGCUGCAGUAGAAAACAGAAGAAAACAAAAUAUUGUCUAUCCUGAUAGUGAGGAUGUGAUGCGCUGGGCAUUUUCCUGCCCUCCUGAAAAUGUUAGGGUUGUUAUUCUGGGACAGGAUCCCUAUCAUGGGGGCCAGGCCAAUGGUUUGGCCUUUAGUGUUCAUGAAAACUUUCCAGUCCCACCGAGCUUACACAACAUUUUCCAAGAACUUAAAAGGUCAGUGCCUGAUUUUCAAAUUCCCCCUUCUGGCUGUCUUGAUAAGUGGGCAGAACAGGGAGUUCUUCUGCUUAACUGCAUCCUGACUGUAGAUAAGGGACGGCCUGGUUCUCACCACAAACUUGGAUGGGGAUGGUUCACAGACUAUGUCAUUUCUACAAUCUCUGAAAAGAAUGAUAAGUGUGUUUUUAUGCUGUGGGGAAACAAGGCAAUAGAAAAGGAAGUUCUGAUCAAUGGCAGUAAGCAUCUUGUAUUAAAGGCGCAACAUCCUUCCCCCCUGGCAUCUCUUGGUGGCUACUCAUCAAAACAGGCCCCGUUUUUGGGCUGUAACCACUUUUCAAUUGCCAACACAUAUUUAACGCAGCACAACAAACCCUCAAUUUCUUGGAACUUAUAAUGGACCCCUUUAAGAAACCAGUGAGAAUGUUGCCCAUAAAGGGGGCCCCGAUCUCUCGACCAAUAAGUGUUUUUACAUUUGACGUGUUUAACCCCCCGGACGAUUCCGAUGGGUCAUCAACUCCAGACUCAGUGUUUGAGGCGGAGACCAGCCCAGCAAGAACUCCUCCAACUCCCGCCUUGAUUCUACCCUAUGAUUAUGUGAGCAGUGAAGACUCUGAUGAUGAAGCACAAGAACAUGCGGAUAACCGGGACACUAAUGACCAGGUCAGCGAGUCAAGUACAAGUGAGGACUCUGAUUCAGAGUCUGAAAGUUCAUGUGACGAUACCCAGCAGACUUUCGUGGACGAUGAGUCCACCAGCUCUUCUGGCGAGGAAGACAGAGAUGAUCCUUUUGAGUCAAAUGACCAGGGCGCGCAGGGCGGGUCGACCUCUGAGUCUGAGGAUGACCUCCCUGCAAUACUGAGGGCUGCACGCGAGACACAAAGUGACAGCUCUAGUGACAGUUCCGGCAACUCCCAUAAAAAAAGGCGAGUGCAGGAAGAAGAAAGUAGUCGCAUCUUGAAAACCCCAGCCCCCAUUUCUGGUAAUGGAAAAUAUAACUGGCCAUGGUUGGAUUGAAACUUUAUUCAAUAAAAAUUAAUAUACAAGUA